Molecule: ribosomal RNA, 427 nt
Filed under: uncultured bacterium
Lineage: Bacteria
Description: bacterial SSU rRNA
Rfam family: Bacterial small subunit ribosomal RNA
Source: RNAcentral
UGGGGAAUUUUGGACAAUGGACGCAAGUCUGAUCCAGCCAUGCCGCGUGCGGGAAGAAGGCCUUCGGGUUGUAAACCGCUUUUGUCAGGGAAGAAACGCUCUGGGCUAAUACCCUGGGGUAAUGACGAUACCUGAAGAAUAAGCACCGGCUAACUACGUGCCAGCAGCCGUGGUAAUACGAAGGGUGCAAGCGUUAAUCGGAAUUACUGGGCGUAAAGCGUGCGCAGGCGGUUAUGCAAGACAGGGGUGAAAUCCCCGGGCUCAACCUGGGAACUGCCUUUGUGACUGCAUAGCUAGAGUACGGUAGAGGGGGAAGGAAUUCCGCGUGUAGCAGUGAAAUGCGUAGAUAUGCGGAGGAACACCGAUGGCGAAGGCAAUCCCCUGGACCUGUACUGACGCUCAUGCACGAAAGCGUGGGGAGCAAACA